This 1020-nucleotide ribosomal RNA is filed under the name Pseudomonas sp. Its description in RNAcentral is "bacterial SSU rRNA". It matches the Rfam family "Bacterial small subunit ribosomal RNA", at positions 56 to 1061 of the family's 1533-position model. The record is from RNAcentral. Lineage: Bacteria; Pseudomonadati; Pseudomonadota; Gammaproteobacteria; Pseudomonadales; Pseudomonadaceae.
UGCAAGUCGAGCGGAUGAAAGGAGCUUGCUCCUGGAUUCAGCGGCGGACGGGUGAGUAAUGCCUAGGAAUCUGCCUGGUAGUGGGGGACAACGUUUCGAAAGGAACGCUAAUACCGCAUACGUCCUACGGGAGAAAGCAGGGGACCUUCGGGCCUUGCGCUAUCAGAUGAGCCUAGGUCGGAUUAGCUAGUUGGUGAGGUAAUGGCUCACCAAGGCGACGAUCCGUAACUGGUCUGAGAGGAUGAUCAGUCACACUGGAACUGAGACACGGUCCAGACUCCUACGGGAGGCAGCAGUGGGGAAUAUUGGACAAUGGGCGAAAGCCUGAUCCAGCCAUGCCGCGUGUGUGAAGAAGGUCUUCGGAUUGUAAAGCACUUUAAGUUGGGAGGAAGGGUUGUAGAUUAAUACUCUGCAAUUUUGACGUUACCGACAGAAUAAGCACCGGCUAACUCUGUGCCAGCAGCCGCGGUAAUACAGAGGGUGCAAGCGUUAAUCGGAAUUACUGGGCGUAAAGCGCGCGUAGGUGGUUUGUUAAGUUGGAUGUGAAAUCCCCGGGCUCAACCUGGGAACUGCAUCCAAAACUGGCAAGCUAGAGUAUGGUAGAGGGUGGUGGAAUUUCCUGUGUAGCGGUGAAAUGCGUAGAUAUAGGAAGGAACACCAGUGGCGAAGGCGACCACCUGGACUGAUACUGACACUGAGGUGCGAAAGCGUGGGGAGCAAACAGGAUUAGAUACCCUGGUAGUCCACGCCGUAAACGAUGUCAACUAGCCGUUGGGAGCCUUGAGCUCUUAGUGGCGCAGCUAACGCAUUAAGUUGACCGCCUGGGGAGUACGGCCGCAAGGUUAAAACUCAAAUGAAUUGACGGGGGCCCGCACAAGCGGUGGGAGCAUGUGGUUUAAUUCGAAGCAACGCGAAAGAACCCUUACCAGGCCCUUGACAUCCCAAUGAACUUUCCCAGAGAUGGGAUUUGAUGCCCUUUCGGGAACAUUGAGACAGGUGCUGCAUGGCUGUCGUCAGCUC